UUAGAUCCGAGAGUAACGGUGGUGGUUCUGUCCCGUGUCCACUUUUCUACAACCCACUCCGCCGCCUCGCCGCUAUCCCGACCCCUCCCGGUCUCGCCCAGAGGUGAUUGAUGGCAGCGGCGGCGGCGACGGCGACCGUUGGCGAAAUGUGCACCGGCCAGCAUGAACACCUCCGCCGCUCAGCGUGUUCGCUUGACGCGAUAUGGCAGGCGCCUCCACUCCCAUGCCGCCACCGUCUCGUGAUUACUCUUCUGCAGGUCAGCCAGUGCAAAGGUAGGAUUGGGGCUUAAUUCCUCGUAUCUUUCCGCGCUAGAUUCGAUCUCUGCAGGUUUGUUGUACUUUUAAAUCUUUCAUGGAUCUUAAGUUUCUGAAUAUGUAUUUCAGCCGUGAACGGUUUCAGGAUUCAUCUUUGAUCUAUGUGUUGUGCUUGUGUACUGGACGUGUUAUUCGUCUUUUCUGGUGCUUUUCUGUACCGUUUAAUUUGCUGCGUUGGUGGACAAACGAGGUUACUGGAAGAAGGGGUGCCACCUCCAGCAACGUAGAGGAGAAGGGGUGUUGCUGUCCGCCACAUCUAGCUUGUCCCCAAAAUUGUUGAACUUCUGCUCCUGAGGAGACAAAAGGGAUGCAACAACGGGGUGAGAAGAUCAGAGUGAUGUACUGAAGCCUCCCGUUCCACAUGUUCAGUACUUGCACCUCAACGUCACUUUUUGAGUAGGUUAGGUCGAUCCCUAAUCUCUGUUCCAAUUUAUUCUUUGGUCAUUAUUCUCAGGCUCCUUUUAAAUUAGUGAUUUAUGCUUUGCUUCUGUAUUUUCUUUAGGUUGCAGGUUGUAAGUUGAUUUUGAUUGCUAGCUAGAUUUAUUAAUUAAUCAUCAAUUCAUUUGUAUAUUUCUUAGAGAAUUAACCUAGCCUACAUAAAUGGAUCGGCACCAUAUUUGGACCGAGUAUUAUACUUACUUUAAGUUCAACAUGGUUUAAGUUUGCCAAAAUGCAGGGUAAACAUCAACAUGACUAGGGACAGGCAAAAUGCAAUUUGAAAUCGAUAAUUACUACUGUUGUGUUAGUUUGCUGCCUGAUCAUGAUCAUUCUCUCAAUACGUUGCUCUACAUUGAAAUUACAUCAUCUUUCUCCUCUUGAUUAUUUUCUUCAGUAACUCAGUUGUUGUAGGCUUGGGUCAGAAUAAGCAUAAAAAAGGAACUUAAGUAGCUCGGUGCCGAUGAGGGGUUCACAUAAGAAUAGCUACAAGUAAAGAAUGUCAAUAGCUUGUUGGUACUAGUCAGAACCUGCAUUUCCACCUUAUCAAUCCAUUCAUAACAUUUAUUCAUGUAGUAUUCCUUAUGCUGGUUUUAUUUGGUUUCUGUGGUGCUUUACCAGAGCCCACAUUUGGAUUUACCUCAUUAUUCCAAUUUUUUAUCUGCUUGAGAAGAUUAGGUCAUUAGUGAAACUAGACAUUUUUCUCAUGAGAAGGUUUGGUACAUAACAUACGGUACUAUACUGACAUCCUAUGUUUAUAGUUUUUUUUAUGAAACAACCUAUAUGGAGGCAUUAGUAAUAUUUCUUGUACCAGUAGAAGAUAUUGAUAAAUGUGUUAUAUCGUUGAUCUUACAGUUAAUUUUUCUAGAUUUGGUGUAUAAGUUCUUUAUCUGUUCCGUGGAUACUUCAUAUGCGGAAGAUAAAGAUCGACUAUUAUCGGAGGUGUCUGAUGCUUCUCUGUACCGUUUAAUUUGCAGUGUUGGCGGACAAACGGGCUUACUGGAAGAAGGGAAAAAUCUGAAGGAGAUAAAAAGGUUAUUUUCUUCCAUUUUCCUUAGAAGCCUCCAUAUAUUUUGAUCCUUUUUUUGGACCUUCAGCAGCCAUGUUCGUUGUGUCUGUAUCAUUUCCACCUAUCUUCUCACUCUUGAACCAUUUGGCUCCGGGGUCGAUGUUUUCUUCAUACAUGCAACUGAUCUUGCAUCGCAUCAGAAACUAUGUCCCUAAAUAAGCCCCCACCUGGUGUAUAUUUAGUGUAUAUGUCCUUGCUUAUCUGUUUUGUGGAUACUUCAUAUGCAGAAGAUAAAGAUAAACUAUUAUCGGAGGUUAUUUUACUUAGUUGUACUCCCUCCGUUCCUAAAUAUAAGUUUUUUUAGACUUCUUGAGCCAAUCUCUAUUUAUUGUCGAUGCAUCUUCCAAAAUAAACGAAAAAAUGUUUUCUCCAUAUAUGAAUGACACAUUGACACUAUGGAAUUUUCCAGUCAACUGAUCCUCCUAAGCCUCAUCCUGCAUUCAAUACAUUUAUGUUCCAUUGCUAAUUUCAUUUGUGAUGCCUUAGGAUGGAAAUGUUCCUCGGCACCUUGAUAAACAUCAGUGGGGGGACAACCUUUUAUUUAAUUUUCUGCUGCCGCUUCUGUAUUGUCGAUGCCACAAAGAUUACCUGGACACAAAACCAUGGUGUGUUUAAAAAUGAUUACAUUAUCCUUUUCUAAACUGAUGGUGUUAGAAACAUCUUAGCAUUCGGGCAGGAUUAGGCAGCCCUUUCAUGGAUCUGUUUCUCAUACUAACAUGUUUUGACCUUUGCCGGUGCGUGGUGUCUGUUACAGAUAUAUUUGGGAUACAUGUAUUUGAUAGUCUAGGAUUUGUAAUCUGUCUCCUACCUUAUCUUAAGGAGAGGCGUCUUGCCCUCCAAGUCUUGCACUCAAUAUAUACUCGCCCUCGAGGCUCAAUAAUACAUCCAUCAUAUUCCAUAACAAUCCCUCUCUCUCCCUUCUAACAUGGUAUCAGCCUAACUGAUCCAAACCCUAGCCGCCGCCCGCCGCUUUCGCCCCGCGCGCCGCCCUUGGGGUAGUCGGUCUCCAUGAUCGCCGCCGGGGGCCGCGCCACCCGUAUUGGGGUUUGCCGGCCGGUCGUGUUGAUCGACUGCCCUGAAGAGUCUUUUUUCCCAAGCCCUUGCUUUGGGUUUUCUCUCUCCCGCCGGUCAUCUUGAUCGGCGUUUUUCUUUUUGGUUUUCUGAUCUACGCUUGAUCGGUUUGCGUUGCGCGCCGGCCCGCCCAUCGGUCCACGCCACCCGCCUCCGCCGCGUCUGCACGGUGGCCCUGUGGUCUGCCUCGCCGGCCUCGUUCCCGACUACGUCAGGCUCGUUGGCUGCCUCAGCUCGGGUGUCGUUGCUAUGUUGGUCGCUCGGGCCUCGCUGCCCGGGCGUCGGCGCUGUUUUGGUAGCCCGGGUGUCGGCGCUGACACGCUCGUCUGCACGUCGUCCCACGCCAUCCGUCAUCGUCGGCCUCAUCUUGGACUCUGCCGCCACCCCGCCUCCAUCGAGCACGCGAUCGGCUUGAUCAUCUGCUUGUCGCUGUGAUCCGCCUCAUCUAUGCCACGCGACUGACCUGGCCAGUCGGUUGCGCGCGUCUCCGCAGGUCCCAUGAAGAUCGUCCACGAGUUCAGUGCGUCCCUCCAGCGAUCGAGCAAUGGGUUGCCGCUACGUCGCCUUGUCGGGCCGCAGUGCCACCGCCCCGUGGUUCUCUUCGCGGCUGCAUCGACUCGCGUGCCACCCCUGCGUCGCCCCUUCGUGCCGUAGUGUCACGAUACGCAGUCCCUGCCACCACCCCGAGGCCGUCCCCGCGGUUGCAUCGUCCCACGCUCAGCCGUUGCACCGCCCCGAGGUCUUCCGCCGUCGCCCCGAUUUGCCCGCUGGCACUGCGUCGCCCCUUCGGGCCAUAGUGCCGCGCCAGCGGUCCACCUUCGUCCCCGCGCGUCGACCUGUCGUGGUAUGCGCCGCGUCGCCUCCCUUGGCGCGUGAACGCCAUCGUCCGCGCCGGUCUUCUUCACGCUGUCGGAUUCCUCGCCUACUUCGAGCACCGCCGCCGCGCUACUAACCUAGCCGCCGCCGCUCUUCUUCGGCGGCCGCCGUCGCUACCUUCGUAGCCACCGCCGCCCGUCCACCCCCUUCGUCUUCGUCCAAGCACCAGCCCGUCGUCAGCGUCGCCGUCAUCUACCCCGACCACUUCAUCUACUCUGACCACCGUUGGUGACAUCGGCCCCGCGCCGAUGGACGCCGCAAUCGUUGUCGAGUUCUCUGCUGGCUCCUCCGACUUCUCCGACAUGGCGUACAGCUCGUGCAGGUCCCUCGUCUACGCAUGCCCGGUGCUGGCAACACCGAUGCAUGCCUUCGUCCACGACGUGUCCUCGGGCCUGGCAAGCCUGGUGCGACGCUUCGUCAACUUCGUCUCGUCUGUCUACGCUUGCUCGGUGCUGGCAACACUGACGCAUGCCUUCGUCUACGACGUGUCCCCAGGUUUGGCAAACCCGUCGCGACGCCUCGUCAACACCAUCCUCCUUUUGACGCACCACUACCUCAACACCACUGCGCCCAUGACUAACUCGGCGCCUCCUUGCGCCCGCGGCUCCACGGCGACUCCCUCGACACCGGCUACCUCGACUCGACAUCGACCACGACAUUCUUCGCACGGCUACCUCGACCACGGCUACACCACCCUACGCUCUCGGCUACCUCGACAUCGGCACAAAGGGUCAUCAUCCGCUUGAUCAAUUCGUCGGCUUCCUCUACAGUCAACGCGUCUGUGACGCGACACCGUCCACGACGCUCCCGCUACGACUGUGGGGGGAUGUCAGCCCGUCGACCGCUGUUCUCUCCAGUCUGAUCGUCUGUGACGCUCCUGUUGUUCGCAACGCCACCACUACGACUGCGGGGAAUGUUAGAGAUAUAUUUGGGAUACAUGUAGUUGGUAGUCUAGGAUUUGUAAUCUUUCUCCUACCUUAUCUCCAGGAGAGGCGUCUUGCCCACCGAUACGGAUUUUUGGAUGAAAAAAAUAUUCAAACGACCAGAGGGACGUGUUAAACAAUUUGAGGCGAGGUGGUUGAAAGAAGAGACGGUCACUGAAAUUGUUAAGGCAUCUUGGGAGAAAGCAAAGCUUGCGGGGAUUGGACCUUCACUUGCUGAUCGUACGAGAGCAGUGCAUGCCGAUUUGCAUACUUGGGAUCGGGAAACUCUAAAGGGACCGAAAGUGAGAAUUAGGAAAUUGAAAAAAGAAUUGGAGAAACUAAGACGAGGCCCUCUGGAUACGGAAUCUCGAUGUCGCCAGAAGGAAAUUAUUGUGGUAAUUGAGAAUAUUUUGGAUCAAGAGGAAGUUUUCUGGUUACAAAGAGGACGGGCGAACUGGUUGAUGCAUGGGGAUCAUAAUACAGCUUUCUUUCACAACGCUGCCACGGCCAGAAAAAAAGAAAUAAUAUAAGGAAAUUGUUAGAUGAUUCAGGAAACUGGGUAGAAGAAAAGGAGUUGAGAGAUCACAUCACUAAAUAUUUUUCAAAGCUUUUCACUUCGGAAGUUCUGCAUCCCAAUCAAGAAGUUUUAUCACUUGUCCGUAGGAGAGUGUCAAAUGAAAUGAACACGGAAGAUGUUCGCAAGGCUUUAUUCGAUAUUGGGGACUUGAAAGCUCCAGGACCAGAUGGUCUCCAUGCUAUUUUCUAUAAAAGGUUCUGGCCUAUGCUGGGGGAGGACCUAAUUGAGGAGGUUCUGAAAGCAGUCAAAACAUGUACUAUCCCGACCGGUUGGAACGAUACGGCGAUCGUGAUGAUUCCUAAGAUUAAUACACCAGAAAAGGUAACACAAUUUAGACCGAUCAGCUUAUGUAAUGUGGUAUACAAAAUAAUUGCAAAAAUGGUGGCUACCCGUUUGAAGGUUUUUUUUACCAGAAAUCAUUAGCCCAACACAGAGUGCAUUCGUACCUGGAAGACUGAUAACGGAUAAUAUUUUAGUGGCCUAUGAAUGUUUUCACACAAUUAAGAACAAAAGAGAAGGUAGAGAGGGCUUGUGUGCCAUAAAACUUGACAUGCACAAAGCAUACGAUAGAGUCGAGUGGCCUUUUUUGAAAGAGAUUAUGUUGAGAUUGGGUUUUCGUCAAGAAUGGGUGAAUUUGAUUAUGCAAUGUGUCUCAACUGUCGAAUACAGAGUAAGGAUCAAUGCAGAGCAAAGUGAGAGCUUCAAGCCUACUAGAGGAUUGAGACAGGGUGAUCCGCUAUCAUCAUACCUCUUUUUGCUAUGCACAGAGGGGUUGAAUGCAUUGCUGACACAUGCCGAGGAAAACGAAAACAUAUCAGGAGUUAAAGUAUGUAGGGAAGCCCCGCCAAUCACAAAUCUUCUCUUUGUGGAUGAUUCAUUGAUGUUGAUGAAAGCCAAUCAGCAUAGUGCGGCAGCCCUGAAAUCAGCAUUAGAUUUAUAUUGUGCGGCGUCGGGACAACCGGUAAGUGUGGAAAAAUCCAGCAUUUUUUUAGUCCUAAUACAACGGUUGAGAUCAGGGAACAAAUGUGUACAACACUGAAUAUAAUGACGGAGGCAAUGAAUGAUAAAUACCUGGGUUUACCAGCCAACGUGGGUGCUGAUAAAUCAGACUACUUUAAAUUUCUGAUUGAACGAAUUGUUAAGAAAAUUAGUGGUUGGAAGGAAAAAUUACUGUCUGCCGGGGGAAGGAGAUCCUACUCAAGGCUGUGAUCCAAGCCAUACCUACCUAUGCAAUGUCGGUCUUUAAAAUUCCUAAAAAAAUUUGUAAAGGAAUCAUUGACGCGAUAGCAUUUCUGGUGGGGUGACGAGGAGAACCAGAGGAGGAUGCACUGGAUGGUCUGGUGGAAAAUGUGUGUACCAAAAAACCAAGGUGGAAUGGGAUUCCGUGAUAUCCAUUGUUUCAACCUGGCUUUGCUCGCCAAACAAGCAUGGCGUCUUAUAGAUAAUCCUGAUUCCUUGUGUGCCACUAUUCUGAGGGCCAAGUACUACCCUGAUGGCGAUUUGCUGAAGUCUAAGUCAAAGCGUGGCGCUUCUUUCACCUGGCAGAGCAUUAUGGCAGGUAUAACUACUCUGAAACGUGGCUAUAUUUGGCGAGUGGGUAAUGGACAUAACAUCAAUAUCUGGAAAGAUGCCUGGAUCCCAAACUGUGUCACUAGGAAGAUUGUGACCCCUAGGGGGAGCCAUUUGCUAUCAAAAGUGAGUGACUUGAUUGACCCUGCUUCCAACAAUUGGGACGAGGAACUGAUUAGACAAACUAUGUGGCCCAUUGACGCACAACGAAUUCUUUCAAUCCCACUUUCGCAAUAUGAUAUGACAGAUUUCAUUGCCUGGAGUUACACAAAAAAUGGUAUAUUCUCGGUAAGGUCUGCUUACUCGGUGGAAUGGAAUUAUCAGUAUGAGAGUAGACUCAAAUAUUCUAAUGGGAUGGGCCGAAGCAUACCAAAUCCUAUUUGGUGUCAGAUAUGGAAGUUAGCCUGCCCAGCAAAGGUAAAAAAAAUUAUAUGGCGUACAUUACAUGGCACUCUCCCAUGCCGGGUAACACUCGCUAAUAGACACAUGAAGGUCUCGCCCUCUUGCCCGACUUGCUCUCGGGGUUUAGAAGAUACGAAACACAUGCUUUUCCUCUGUAGUAAAGCAAAGGAGGUUUGGAAGAGACUAGGGAUGGAUGUGAUAAUUGGUAAAGCUUGUGAGGUUGAUCUUGCCGGGGAGGCAAUAUUGGAAUACCUUUUACUUCUUCCAGACCAAGACUUGAGUAUUAUGGGGUACCAAAAUGUACGUGAAAUGAUAGCUAUUUCAGCUUGGUACCUAUGGUGGGAAAGACGAAAGUUAGUGCAUAAGGAAUUAACUCAGAAUGCAAAUCAGAUAGCAAUGGGGAUCAUAGCUCUCACAUCCAACUUUGUAAAUGCAUCAUCUCCAAAGGCGACGAUGAAAAAGGGGGGUUGGUACUGUCCUCCUAGGGGUUUUGUGAAACUUAAUGUUGACGCCUCUUUUGAUCAUGAUAUGUUGAAGGGUACGAUGGUGGCAGUUUUAAGAGACCAUAAAGGUAGGUUCAUUGCAGGAGGAAAUGGAAAGAUUGACUAUUGUGCGGAUGUUUUGAUGGCUAAAGCUUUAGCUCUCAAGUUUGGCCUAACAAUGGCGCAAAGGAUGGGGUGUAACCGCCUAAUCAUCAACUCAGACAACAUGGAGGUGGUUGAGACCAUGCAGGAAGGAGGACAAUCAACGGGGGCGGCGGCAGCAGUCUUCGAGGAUUGUUACCACUACGCCUGUGAUUUUGUCACGACUAGAUUCGAACAUUGUAAUAGAGAGGCAAAUAAAGUAGCUCAUGAACUUGCUAGAUUAGCUAGAUUUUCUUCGACUUCCGACUGGUUUGAGGAACCUCCAAAUGAAAUUGUAAUGAUCCUCACAAACGAUGUACUGGUUAUUUUAAAUGAAUAAAGCUUCAUUUUAAAUAAAAAAAGAAGUCUUGUAUUCAAUAUAUACUCGCCUCGCCUUCAAGGCUCAAUAAUACAUCCAUCAUAUUUCGCAACAAUCCCUCUCUCCCUUCUAACAGUGUCUACUAUUCAUACCUAAAGACGGAGCCAUGGUGUGUUUAAGUUCCUCCACUGUGCAUGUUUUCAUAUAUACUAUUUAUGGAUUAUAUUCUACCUUCGCUUCAUAUCAAGAACAACAGAAAUUGCUAACUGGGUUUCUAUUUAAGGGUGGUUGUGUGUGUCUGCGAAUGAAAAAGUAGUCAGAUAAAAGAAAUCAUGUUAAUGCUGUUAGAUUGAAACUAUGGUUCCUUUCCCGAGGUCCACUGGACACUGCCUACCCAGUACGCAUAUACCCUUCUAAAUUUGAGCAAGCUAAAUGAUAAUUUGAAACACUCAAAGCUAAGUGGAUUUGGUGGGGGUUCCAAAAUUAAUUGCUAUCAGUUAGCUCUGGAGAAGGAAUCAGAUGACAAAUACUUGUGCAUUAUUUUUGAAGGUAGGAUAUGAUCCUACACAUUUGGAAAAUAUGUAUAUGGUUUAUUGGAAAGUGGAUGGACAUUGAAACAUGAGCUAAUUAACGUCUUAACACUAUAAAUGCAUGUAAAAAUAUGAUCAACCAUAAGUAACAUCUUACACUACAAAUACACUUGAAAUUGUAUAAUGUAAUAUUACAACUACGUGUUUUAACAUAUUUUUUAACACUGUCAUACAACAUUUAAAAUGUAUGGUGUAGCAAAGCAUGCCAUUAAUGAUCUAGUAAAAAUGAAGACAUGGCAUGCUGAUUGCAUGGCAGAAGAUAAAAAGGUACACGUCAAUUUUUGAUAGAAAUGCUGCAAAAAAUGUAUAGGGAGUAGAGAGAGGUACAACAAAAAUGGUGAUGCAGGAGCAGGAGGCAAGCUGUGCAUGUAGGAAUGAAUAUGUUUGCUUGUUUAAGAGAGAUGCCACACACACGGGGUUUUACAUGGUUUUACGGGGUGGUUAGGAUUUAAUUGGCUCAGAUUUGAUAAAGUGAGGUGGGCCCACCACUUAAAAUAGGGGCAGGGGGCAAUUAGUGAAGGCCACGCAACAGGGUCCAUGAAAGUCCGUGACUUUUACGGGUGUGUGUAGUAUUAUCGCUUGUUUAGUAUAGUACAACAAAUCUCUAUCUCUACUAUACUUAAAAAAAAGAUUAAGGUUCCUUCUCCUACCGCCGGACCAUGUUCUGCCCUCCCUUUGUGCACCUCCCCGUGUUCGGUUUCCUGCCCGCUCACCCCGCCUCUAUUUUUCUCGUGAAAAGAAACCCUUGAGAAAAUAUGAGCCAUCCCGAUCCAAAUCUCUAUGUCCCAUCCCGAUCUGGCCGCCGCCACCAUUGUCGACGCCACCUACCCUUCCCUUUCUUCUCGCAAGCGACGGAUGAGAUCGUCGUCUCAAGCAGCGCGCCACGCGCUUGGCCCCGCCCACGGACGCAGAGCACCUACGUCCAGCUUGUGAGUUGUGACCCAGCGAUUCGAUGCGAACGCCAUGAGGUACUUCUCCUAUGGCGCCCCCCGUCCACCGGCUUCCUCCAGGUCUUGAAGCUCCUCUCAUCUCUCUCGUGUGCUCUACCCUCCUCCUUUCGAGAUAUCUCCCUCCCCGAACAUGUGUUCCCCCCUCCCAAUUCACUCUCGCCCAUCUCCCGAUCCAUCGCAGGUUUCUCUCUUUCCCAUGUGCUGGCGCCAAAUCAUGGACUCCGGGAACGGUGGGGCAUAGGCGACUGGCCCUAUUCCCCUUUCCAUUCUUGCGGGGUCUCUCCCGGCGUCUCUUUUCUCGUCUCUGCUGAGUCGGCCAAACGACGACUAUUAAGGAUGCGUGAGGAGGCGAUUCCGGGAGGGUGUGGGUGCGCGGCUGGCUAACGCCCUAACUGCGAUUUGCUGCAGCUUGUGGCCUUGAUUCCUGCUCUGAUUGAUGCGUGCGUGGUGUUGGUAAUAUGCGUGCGUGUGGUGUUGGUAUUCCCCGCCUGAGAGAUGCGUGCAUGGUGUUGGUAGAUGUAGUGCUGUGUUGACCGAGGUGUGCUUGUUCUUAGAUUGAUGCAAGACCUGCAAACUGAUGUCCCCUCUCUGACACAUGUAAUUCAGAUGCAUGUGUGAUCUGUACUGCCACGUCCCUAUCUGUUGCAUAAUUUUCAUGACAACCAGCAAAUAGGAGCAGCCCUUGGUGAUGGAAGAGGGAGAAGCGAUGGGAUUCAACACAUUCAUUAGCUCUGCAGGCUGAGGUUAUAUACAGUUUUACAGAGGUUCGUGUGCCACUACCAGGCGAUCGUGGGCUAACAGGAUGCCCACUACUCUCACGCAUGCACAGACAAGAGGUCGUGCCGUAUACACAAUCCGUACGUAGGUACACUACGUAUACUCUAACACCCCCCCCCCCCAGUCUUGGCGUCGGUCGGAGCGACGCAAAGACUGUCCCGGAACUGGAGGAAAACGUCCGUGGACAAGUCUUUGGUCAUGACAUCGGCGAGCUGCUGCUUGGUGGGGAUGUGAAGGACUCUGAACUCGCCCAGCGCCACGCGCUCUCGUACAAAAUGGAUGUCGAGCUCCACAUGCUUGGUGCGCCGGUGAUGCACUGGGUUCGCGGAGAGGUAGCAGGCCGAGACAUUGUUGCAGAAGACCACUGUCGCCGUGCGGACUGGGAGGAGGAGCUCGCCGAGAAGCUGACGAAGCCACGCACUCGGCGACAGCAUUGGCGACGCCACGGUACUCGGCUUCGGCGCUGGAGCGCGACACCGUGGCCUGGCGCUUGGACGACCAGGAAACGAGGGUGUCGCCGAGGUAGACGCAGAAGCCAGAUGUCGAGCGGCGGGUGUCCGGGCAGCCGGCCCAGUCGGCGUCGGUGUAGGCGCGGAGAUCCAGUGUAGACGAGGCGCGUAGAUGGAGACCGUGGGCGGGCGCGCCGCGCGCGUAGCGCAGCGCACGCUUGACGAGAGCUUGGCGGCAGUCCCGCGGAUCAUGCAUGUGCAGGCAAACCUGCUGGACGGCGUACGCGAGCUCGGGCCGCGUGAUGGUGAGGUAUUGGAGAGCCCCGGCGAUGCUGCGGUACGCCGACGAGUCAGGCACACGCGGGCCGCUAGCCUGAGGAAGAAGCCCGCCUCUGGUGUCGAUGGGCGUGGGCGACGGCUUGCAGGUGUCCAUGCCCGCGCGUUCGAUGAUCUCCUCGGCGUACUUCUGUUGACAGAGGAAGAAGCCCGCCUGCAUGCGCGUCACCUGAAUGCCGAGGAAGUAGCGGAGCGCGCCAAGGUCCUUCAUGGCGAACUCAACAGUGAGCCGGUGCACAAUGCGAUGAAGAAGAGCCGGAGUCGAGGCGGUGAGGACGAUAUCGUCGACGUAAAGAAGAAACGCCGUGUCCGCCCCGCUGGUGUAGAUGAACAGGGAGGAGUCGGAGCGCGUCGCCGUGAAGCCGACCGUCUUGAGGAAGCCGACGAACGUCUGGAACCAGGCGCGGGGAGCUUGUUUAAGCCCGUAAAGCGACUUGUUCAGACGGCAGACAUGGUGCGGCCGAGCCUCGUCGACGAAGCCUGCGGGCUGGAGGCAGUACACCUCCUCGGCGAGCGUCCCAUGCAGGAACGCAUUCUUGACGUCCAGUUGGUGGACGGGCCACCCUCGCGAAGCAGCUAUGGUGAGAACAGUGCGGAUGGUGGCUGGCUUGACCACCGGCGAGAAGGUCUCGCCGUAGUCCACGCCCGCAUGCUGAUGAAAGCCGCGGACGACCCACCGCGCCUUGUAGCGUUCCAGAGAGCCGUCAGCGCGGAAUUUGUGCUUGAAGACCCAUUUGCCUAUGAUCAGGUUGGCGCCAGGCGGACGUGGAACCAGCUCCCAAGUACGGUUGGCGACGAGCGCGGCGUGCUCUUUGCGCAUGGCCGCGAGCCAGUGCAGAUCGCGGACGGCGACGCGCACAGAGCUUGGCACGGGAGAGAGCGAAGUGGAAGGCAGAGCAGCCGCAGCGUCGUAGUACUUGGGGUUCGGCUUGAAGAUGUCGGCCUGAGCCCGGGUCAGCACACGCCGCGACGGGCCGGCCAGAGCGGGCGGCGCGGAGGAGACGCUGGAGUCAGCGGAAGGCGUGCUCGACGACGAGGAGCAGGAGCCGUCCGUGCACGAUCCAGCGGCCGUGUUUGAAGUAGCAGAACGCGCGCUUGAUCGAGUAGCGCGGGAGCCGUCCGCGCGCGAUCUAGCGGCUGUGUUUGAACCAACAGAUGGCGCACGAGGGGACGGGAUGGCGAUGCCGUCCAGUCCUGAUCCGACGGCCCGCGGCGUGCAUGGUCGAACGACAGGUGAAGAAGGAACCUAACGGGCGAUCUGAAGCAGGGGCGGCGCGCCAAGGGGCGGAGGCGCCGGCGGAGCAACAGGUGGAGUGCUGUAAGCGUAGGGAAGGUGUCUUCAUGGAAGUAGACAUGGCGUGAGGUGAGGACUUGUUUAGACGGAAGGUUGAGGCAGCGGUAACCGCGGUGAUCAGAGGGAUAACCAAGGAAAACGCAGGCCGACGAGCGAGCGUCGAGUUUGUGGCGCGAAGUAGCAGCAGUGCUGGGGUAGCACAGGCAGCCAAAAACACGAAGCGAGGCGUAAUCGGGUGCCACACCGAGCAGGAGCUCAUGUGGAGUGCGCGGCGAGGUGCGAUGACAGGGGCGUCUGUUGAGCAGGUAGGUGGCGGUGUUCAGGGCUUCGGCCCAAAAACGUGGCGGCAGCGAGGCAUGGAAGAGCAGUGUGCGCACGCUGUCGUUGAGGGUGCGAAGAGUGCGCUCCGCCUUGCCGUUCUGUUGGCUGGUGUACGGGCAAGACAGCCGGAGCACGGUGCCGUGGGAAGCGAGGAGUGCACGGGAAGCGUGACUGUUGAACUCGCGUCCGUUGUCAAUUUGAACAGAAAACACUGGCAACUGAAACUGAGUGCGCGCGUAGGCAUAGAAAUCACGCAAAAUGGGCAGCACGUCAGAUUUGUUCUUGAGAGGGAAGGUCCAGACAUAAUGAGUGUAAUCGUCAAGAACCAGGUAGAAUUGGUAGCCAGAAAUGCUAGGAACAGGAGAUGUCCAUACAUCCAAGUGCAGUAGUUGAAAUGGGAAAUAAGCACAGCUAAGAGAAUCUGAAAAAGGCAAGCGCACAUGUUUGGCAACGCGACAUGCGUGGCAAGAGUGAGGCGCUGAUUUUGUGAAACUAAAUGGAAACUGACUAGCUACAUGCUGAAGUUGUGCGAGUCCUGGAUGCCCAAGGCGCUGGUGCAGGCGAUCGGUGGUGACAGCGCCAGCGAAGGGAAGCACAGUGGACCGGGCCGCCGUCACAGAGUAGAGGUCGCCAUCGGAAUCACAGCGGAGGAUCACCACCUGAGUUCGCAGGUCCUUGACAGAGAAACCAAGCAAGUCAAAUUCCACUGAAACGGGAUUGUCACGGCAAAUUUGACGGACAGAAAGGAGGUUUUUGAUGAGAGAAGGUGAGACAAGAACGUUGCGUAGCUGUACGGGGGAGGUGCUAGUAAUGAGAGAACCAGAACCAGUGUGUGUAAUGGGAAGAUGCUCACCACUGCCAACGAUAAUAUGAGAGGAAGAGGAAGAGGGGAGCAGAGACUGGAGAGUACCAGGCGAGUUGGUCAUGUGUGCAGCGGCGCCGGAGUCCAUGUACCACUCGAAGGAGCUGCCGGAGGACGACGGGCCAGCCGUGGCGCUGUGGAGCGCGGCCUGGAGCGAAGUCAUGUCCAGAGCCUGGUGCUGGUGCUGCUGGGGCACGCCGGGGGGCACGGUGGCGUAGUUGGGCACGGGCCCGUAGUCGGGCGAUGCGUAGCCGCCGUAGCCGUACGCGCCAGGGAGCGGGGGCGCAGGAGCAGCAUACAUGGCCUGCUGUGGUGGAGUGCCGGGCCGGGGCCCAAGGACGCCAGAACCCGGAGGACGCCAGGGCAUGGGCCAUGCUUGGACAAGGCCAGUCCAAGAGUUGGUGCCGGGCACGGAUGCGGGCAAGCCGGGGACGCGUGGAGGCGCUUGCUGAGGGAGACCACUGGUGCCGGAGCCGCCACCGUUGCCAGAGCCGCGCCCGCGGCGACGCCCGCAGCCACCACGCCGGGAGCGGCGGGGGGAACGGCGACAGGCGGAGCGGUUGGUGGUGGAGUGCCGCGCCCGGCGACAAGCGCGUGCGCGCCGUCUGCUCGGCACGGUGCUCCUCAAGGAGGAGGAAGGAGCACGUCUGAAGAAGCGUGGGGAGGGGGUUGCGCGAAGUGAUGUGCGGGAUGGCACCAUGGUACUGGCGCGCGAGCCCACGCAGAAGAUGGAAGACUUGGCGCGUUUCCGUCACCGGUUGGCCGAGGUCGCGCAGCUGGUCGGUGUACGUCUUCAGCUUGGUGCAGUAUUGCAUGAUCGUCAGGUCGCCCUGCACCACGGCGUGGUACUCGGCGUCGAUGUAGACCGCCCGGGGGAGCUGGUUGCCGCGAAAGACGCCGUCGAUCGACGUACACACGGAGAGCGCCGUGUCCUCCUCUUGCAUCACGACGUCCAGGAGAUCGGGCGCAACAGUGGUGUUGAGCCAGUGGACGACAGCAUGAUCGGCCAUCGCCCACUCGGGAUCGUCGAAGCGCGGCACCGCCGCAGCGUCAAGGUUAGCGCGUAGCCCGAACAUGCCGAUCGCUGUGUCGAAGUGACGGCGCCACUGCGCGUAGUUGCCGGCGAGGAGAUCAAGAGUGACUGGGACGUGGCGGCGUAUGUCGAUGGUCUGAAACACCGAAGAGGGGAGCGGGGACACGGGCGCCGGUGCGAUGGCGGCAGGCGGAGCGGGAGCAGCCGGUGGCACGGCGGGGAGGAGCGCUAGAGGUGGGGCAGGAGCGACGAGAGCGCCGGAGUCGCUAGCAGCAGGAGAGGGAGGAGGGCUGGGGUGGUCACCCAUGGCGGCGGAAGCGGGAUCGACGACCGGAGCAAAGGGAUUGGCCUGGUCGACGGUAUCUGAUACCAUGAUGGAAGAGGGAGAAGCGAUGGGAUUCAACACACAUUCAUUAGCUCUGCAGGCUGAGGUUAUAUACAGUUUUACAGAGGUUCAUGUGCCACUACCAGGCGAUCGUGGGCUAACAGCAUGCCCACUACUCUCACGCACGCACAGACCAGAGGUCGUGCCAUAUACACAAUCCGUACGCAGGUACACUACGUAUACUCUAACACUUGGUUUUUUUUUAAAUGAGGAGCAGCCCUUGUGAUUUAGACAAAGUUCACGCCAAGGAGGUUCAUUGGGUGGCCAUGAGAGGUAGCAAACGAACAACCUGUAUCUCUCCUAGUAGAUCGUAAUUCGUCUCUUACAUAUGUUUUAGAUUGUGAAGUACCUUUUUUGAACAUAAUCACAUUGUUUUGCUUCUUUGAUGAUUGAUUUUCAUACACUUCAACAAUUAUGUAGUUAUUUAUUGUGGCGAAUACGGAGUUCAUGCACAGGGAAGAAGGUUUCACUGAGUCGUCUUAUUCCCUUGGCUGAUGCCUCCACAAAUUUCAUAUUUGUCUUAUGUUUCGGAAAGCAUGAAUUUCGUGUUCAAGGGAAACAUAAUGCUAUUGUACAGAUGACUACGAG
Molecule: long non-coding RNA, 15764 nt
Filed under: Triticum aestivum (bread wheat)
Lineage: Eukaryota; Viridiplantae; Streptophyta; Magnoliopsida; Poales; Poaceae
Description: long non-coding RNA (TAES_LNC000209)
Source: RNAcentral